Molecule: long non-coding RNA, 2218 nt
Organism: Esox lucius (northern pike)
Lineage: Eukaryota; Metazoa; Chordata; Actinopteri; Esociformes; Esocidae
Source: Ensembl
UGUCAGCUAUGACUAUAUUAAUGUGAUACAAUCAAUUUGCAUAAUUAGUAUUAAUGAACCCAUGAAAACAGAAUCUUUUGAAAUGUUCAAGCUUGAGGGACCAAACCAACAUUGUUUCACAUGGUUUGGCUGAACCAAGUCUUUCUUUUACAUAAACAAGCUAGAAAGCCAACCACAGUUACUUCUGUAAAUCUUUUUUUAAAUGUUAUUAUAGUAAUGUGUGCUUUUGGUUGGAUAAGCCCUUUAAGGAUUUAAUUAAUUGCAUUGCAUGGGGCUUGUUGAAUGCAAUGUUUGACCUGAAUAGACGUCCAUAUAGCCCCCCAACUGUUUGAGCUACAAACAAAUAAAUGACAUUCUGAAACACAACAGUCCAGGGAUCACAAAUUUACUCUGAGUCACCAGCACGUUUCUAAAGGUCUCUUGUUACAAAAACAAAAUGCAGUAAAGGCAAAUCAUUUUAAAUGAAUAUUUUUUCAGACCUACAUAGGUCCUAAAACAAUUACAUUCCUUAGGGAUGAACGGUAAGUCCAACUAUCAAGAUGUCUGUAUGUGGUUAGCUAACCAGAAAUGUCUUAAGGCAAAUAAGGACAAAGACUCCAUGGAACAGCCAAGUCCAUUUCCUUUGCUUGUGCUAUAGAAACUACUCACAAGCAAACAAAAAAACUCAAUUACCAUGUACAACUAGUGUGCAAACUUGGGCUGACCUCUGUGUACACCCAUCCCUCCUCCCCCCUCCUCCCACCUCAUCCCUCCUCCCACUCACCCCCCCUCCUCCUCCCACUCACCCUCCUCCCACCUCCUCCGUCACACCUCACAUAUUGAGAUCACACUUCACUGAGAAGCAGCGAGGAGCAUGAGGCUCUUCUUGACCGAGACAGCGUGAGGAAAAGAAGAGGCUGUAUUAGUCUGAUGGUCCUAGAAGGGCAUAGAAACGUCUCCUUGAUAACCAUGACAACAGAUGAUGACUCAAGCACAAUGACCUUAAGACUUGGUUCUCUCUGCCCACUUCGGCCAAAGCUCGUCUGACAGAGAUACAGCUUUGAACCUGAACUGACCGGUGUGGUGGCGCCGGAGACAAGUGUGACGUUGGCGGAUCACAAUAAUCCUGUGUCCUGCUAGUCCAGUCCAUACUCGAACAACACCUCUUCACUUAGAUUAAUUGACAAAACAAGACCCAAGCAGAAGGUUAAUUUACUCUCAGAGUCUUAAGUCUCUUGAUCCACUGGUCUCAGGACAGUAUUAACUGGAUCCUUCAGGAUGUUGGCAGUGAGAGCUUUCAUCCACUUCUGAAGUCAGGUUACCUUGUGGAUGACAAUUGUGUCUAUGCCUGCAUUUAACUGUUUUAUAUAAUAGAAUUGUAGUCCUUGUCAUACUGGAUGCAGAGACCUAGAAAUGCUGAAAGACAGAUGCAUCUCAAAUACCCUUCAAAAGCCAGAAGAAAGCAGAUGUUUACAACCACAACCUACUGUUAACUCAGGCUAGGUCAGGGUGAACCAAGGCCCCAGAGGUGACUGAACACACCUCGUUGACAUUGAGGCCUAGUUGAAGGUGGGAGGGGUUAACAGCAUGGUCAAGGGACACAUGGUUGCUGAGAUGGUUACUAAUACUGCAUAGUGCUGUCUCUAGCCCUUUGGCUGCCUUAAGCAAAAUGUCAGUCGGGGCCCCCUUUCCCCUAUCAGUUGGGGACUCCCAAACAAUCAGGGGCCCUAAGUAACCACUUAUGUUGCUUACGCCUGGAGGCAGCCCAGCUUUCACAUACGACAGCCGUUGGCAGCGCAGUAACGUUUGUCAACCUCCAUUUUUAUGUUAACACGAAUUACUGAAUUAAAUGUUUUAAAACUCAUUUAGAUUACGGGCUACUCUGCAAACUGCUGUGUGGGGUGACUUUUUAAAAUAUCACUAGAAUCUCCUUAUAUCUGGUGAAGGUGAUAAGACAAAUCAAUUAAUAGAUUUUCUUUAAUGUGGCUUCUACGUAAUUCAAACAUAAGACUAAAAAUCAUUACAGCUGAAGAGGGUGUUAAAUCAACAGCCCAGGCAGACCAAUAAAAUAAGGCCUGUUACAGUCCAAGGUGAAUGAGACCUUGAAGACAUUCUACUGAAAGAAGAGCAGAGUAGAAUGGAAGUGUUUCUGGAAAUGCUUUGUCGAAAUGACACUCCACACAAUACCAAGGUCACAAAUGACCUGAUAUCUCAGAGCCCCCUCAAUGCAACAGGCAGC